AAUUAGAAGAGGUAAGAUAGUAAAGGCCUUGUGAUUCAUGCCCUGUUCCAAUCGUCUGUCCUGUCCUGUGGUCCUGCAUGAGAAAAAAAUCAUCAAAAAAAGUUAUGUUACAAUGUAGGGAUGUCGUCAAACGACUAGCCGAUGCUAGAUUAAAAGGAGAACCAGGGACAUAAAGAACAAAGUCUAAGGUGACAGAAGAUACGGGUUUGGCUUUUCCAAUCCCCUUUGGUUUUGUUUGGAUCUGAUUGGCUAAAGUAAUAGCUGAAAGAGAUUGUGAAUAAACAAUAUCAGACAAAAGUGAUUUAUUACCAAAGAUAUGACCAGAAGCCCCUGAGUCCAUGACCCAUGAUCCAAGAGUGCUAGACUGUGACACACAAGUCCUGCAAUAGAAAUACGAGGUUGUGCAACCAAAACAACUUGUGGAGACGUUUAUUUAUUUGCGCAACACCGAAUGAACUCUCUAUAUUCCUUUAGAACAACAGGAUCAUAACUGGGUGGUGGACCAUGCAAAAUAUAACAUAUAUCAUGAGUGUGUCCAAGCUUAU
This 545-nucleotide unclassified non-coding RNA is filed under the name Hevea brasiliensis (rubber tree). The record is from RNAcentral. Lineage: Eukaryota; Viridiplantae; Streptophyta; Magnoliopsida; Malpighiales; Euphorbiaceae.